Molecule: long non-coding RNA, 1445 nt
Organism: Syngnathoides biaculeatus (alligator pipefish)
Lineage: Eukaryota; Metazoa; Chordata; Actinopteri; Syngnathiformes; Syngnathidae
Exons: 12
Source: RefSeq, a predicted model, not a curated record
CAAGGAUUCAACGGAUUAUCGGCAUUUGUAUUCAUUUCACCGGGGAAAGAUGAUUGGAGAUAUGAUUGAUUCAGGUUAGGUUGGUCAAAAACCCAGUUAAACUUGUAUCACAACGUAACACUUUCUUGUAUGAGUUUAGGGUAAAGACGGAGUUAAUGUAUCGGGCAAAUAUCAGGACAACUGUUAAGGUGGACGUAAAACACGAGUUCGCCUCACCUAAUUUGAUGAAUCGUCUUGAGCGACGACCGUAUGCUCCUCGCUCGACAGGAAGUCAGGAGGAACUACGGUGCUACAGCGCCAUACUGCCGGUCAAACAGAGCAGCUCACGUUGUUGGAGACAUUGAACCGGAGGAGAAUAUUUACAAGACCUGAGAGCUGAUGUGCUGUUGGUUGUCACAACAGACAGGACAAAUAUUCAAAGAGAUCAUCGUAUGUAAUACCAGCUGAAAAGACCAGAAAAGAUCAAUGGAUUUCGGCAAUUAAACGUGAUGGAUGAUGCCCAACCAAAAUUCACACACGCCUGUGUAGCGAUCGCUUCAUUUCAGGGCGACACAAGAAGAAUGGAGCUGAACCCCGGACUUCAGAGCUGUGAGGCAGAUGUGCUAAUCACUGACACACUGUGCUGCCUAAUCAGUAAGCAAUAAGCUUUAACCACCAAAGCAGACUGUCCCGACCUGGAAGCCGAACUUCUGGCCUGCGUUGCCGAAGUCGUCCACUGCCACAUCGACGACAGGCAGUGAGGAGGACUGGGGGGCGUCCAUUUCCAACACUGUCCUCUCUUGCCCAGAACGAUUCUGAGGGUAGUCCCUGGUUUCCUGGCAGCCCUCGGUCUCCCUUCUCUCCAAUGUCCCCCGGAGGCCCGAUCAAACCUAUAAGGCCGCCAUGACCCUGCACAGCUGACUUACAGCAGGACCAGGAAUCCCUCUAAGACCUUGUGGACCAGCCUUUCCGGUGUGCCCCUGACGACCCACUGGUCCUGUUUUCCCAAUAGGACCCUCAAAUCCAGGAGCGCCCUGACAAGAAUAUGAAGAGCUCCCAGUACUCCCGGAAAACCGUCGGAGCCCUGUGACAAGAUGUGAUUAACCAGAUGAUCUUACGGGAGGUCCAUCAUUUCCAGGCAGCCCAACUAACCCCUGAGGACCAGGAAAGCCCUGACAGAGCUCUCCAGGAGCACCUUGGGGCCCCGGCUUUCCCCUUUCACCCUGAGGAAACACACGCAAUGGCGGCGAGUUCAAUCAAGCUUUUCAAAUUCUUUCGCAACAGGAUGCCGUGCUUAAUAAAUCUUGGGGAAUCUUCAUGUGCUUUGGCAGACCAGGCAGGCCGUCGAAGCCUCUGUCUCCCUGGGAGGAAAAACGGUUUUAGGAUGACAGUUCUGACGUGCAGUCAUGAUGCGAGCGUUCCUCACCUUUACACCCGUCUCUCCGAUGUUGCCUCGCCCGCCGUCC